GUGGGGAAUCUUGCGCAAUGGGCGAAAGCCUGACGCAGCCAUGCCGCGUGAAUGAUGAAGGUCUUAGGAUUGUAAAAUUCUUUCACCGGGGACGAUAAUGACGGUACCCGGAGAAGAAGCUCCGGCUAACUUCGUGCCAGCAGCCGCGGUAAUACGAAGGGGGCUAGCGUUGCGCGGAAUUACUGGGCGUAAAGGGCGCGUAGGCGGACAGCUUAGUCAGAGGUGAAAGCCCAGGGCUCAACCUUGGAAUUGCCUUUGAUACUGGCUGUCUUGAGUUUGGGAGAGGUGAGUGGAACUCCGAGUGUAGAGGUGAAAUUCGUAGAUAUUCGGAAGAACACCAGUGGCGAAGGCGACUCACUGGCCCAAUACUGACGCUGAGGCGCGAAAGCGUGGGGAGCAAACAGGAUUAGAAACCCGGGUAGUCC
Molecule: ribosomal RNA, 425 nt
Filed under: uncultured bacterium
Lineage: Bacteria
Description: partial 16S ribosomal RNA
Rfam family: Bacterial small subunit ribosomal RNA
Source: RNAcentral